GCCGGGAUGGCGGAACUGGUAGACGCAGCGGACUCAAAAUCCGCCGGUAGUGAUACCGUGGGGGUUCGAUUCCCCCUCCCGGCACCA
RNAcentral lists this transfer RNA (87 nucleotides) under Burkholderiales bacterium. RNAcentral's name for it is "tRNA-Leu". It matches the Rfam family "tRNA". Rfam says of the family: Transfer RNA (tRNA) molecules are approximately 80 nucleotides in length. RNAcentral also lists the same sequence under 3 other names. Lineage: Bacteria; Pseudomonadati; Pseudomonadota; Betaproteobacteria; Burkholderiales. The record is from RNAcentral.